GGGAUUCAUGGCUUUUUCGCUUCCUCUGGAAAGCAGGAAGCUAUCACAGCCUAACUGCGUAUUUUUGGGGUUACUUGACUAGAAAUUUCCUUGUUGUGUUGCAGGCCUGCCUCCCCCGGGCUCCUUCCCGCCGCCGGUGCCGCCGCCCGGGGCGCUGCCCCCCGGGAUGCCCCCGGCCAUGCCCCCCCCGCCCAUGCCCCCGGGCGCCGGAGCCCCCGGGCCGCCCUCGGGAGCUGCCCCUGCUGGGGGACACCCCCCUCACCCACACCCCUUCCCGCCAGGAGGGAUGCACCACCCAGGAAUGCCACCCAUGCAGGUGCACCACGGCCCCCCUGGCAUGGGGCAGCACCACCCGGGACCACCAGGCUCAGGAGGGCAGCCACCCCCCCGGCCCCCCCCAGGAAUGCCACACCCCGGACCCCCCCCAAUGGGGCUCCCCCCUCGGGGGCCACAUUUUGGAUCUCCAAUGGGUCACCCCGGGCCGCUGCCGCACCACGGGCUCCGCGGGCCCCCCCCGCUGAUGCCACCCCACGGCUACAAUGGACCCCCCAGGCCCCCCCCCUACGGCUACCAGAGGGUCCCUCUGCCCCCUCGACCAGCUCAGAGACCCCCUGGAGUCCCCCCCCGCUCCGGGCCCCUGCGGGGACCCCUGCCCUGAGAGCGGGGGGACCCUCUGCUCCCCAUCCUUCCCCAGCCCUUGGUAUCCACAUUCCCACUCCUGCAAAGCGCUGGGGGCCAUCCCCUGCUCCUCCCUUCCCUCCCCAUUUCUUCCCCCCAUUUGUUUUUAUAGUGUUAAUUUUCCUCCCUCUCUCCAUCUCCUCCCGUUUCUCUUCCCCUGGAAGCUUUUCCAAGCUCCUUUUUACUGGGUUUUUGUUGGUUUUGUAUGGAAAGCAGUGGCCAACCACUUGCAAAUAAAGGAUUUAGGAACCAAAAGGGUUUCUGGAUUGGGACUG
Molecule: long non-coding RNA, 953 nt
Filed under: Camarhynchus parvulus
Lineage: Eukaryota; Metazoa; Chordata; Aves; Passeriformes; Thraupidae
Description: lncRNA (ENSCPVG00000017350.1)
Source: RNAcentral